GCGUUUAAGGUGAUUUGUGUGUCCUGUUUUGUCAACAGCGAUGAUGAAGUGAUGAAGCCUUUUGGAGCACAACUGACACCGACUGGGAAUCCCGAUCGGUGAAGCCGUUUGUUUAGUGGGAGCGGAGCGUUGUGUCGAGGCGCAGAUCGUUGCACUAAGUACACCCGCACCUUCAGAAUUAUUUUCCGACUUGUUGAGACGAAAUCAACAAACAUCUGUUGACUGCACAUCUACACGAUGUGUGUCUGUGUGUGUUAAAAAUAUGGUGGACGUAGUGACGUGAGCGCCUGCUCCAUAAAGUCGGCCUUGUAGCAACGGUGGGUUUAAACAAAUAGCUGCAGAACCGAAAUCCCAUC
Molecule: long non-coding RNA, 356 nt
Organism: Gasterosteus aculeatus aculeatus (three-spined stickleback)
Lineage: Eukaryota; Metazoa; Chordata; Actinopteri; Perciformes; Gasterosteidae
Source: Ensembl